AGCUAUGUACAUACAUCAAUUACGUACCCACUGGGAAAAUAGCACACCCACAACACCUGCAAUCGCGCUUUUCGCCUAACAAAAGUUCAAACAGACAGCCGCACAUUCGCACUUCUCGGCAAACGAUCUUGUCCCGGUUUCUCUCUGAACUUUAUCGCUAAUUAUGUUCAUAUGUACGUAGAUAUGUAAAUAUAUAAAUCACUUAGCACAAUCACCGAACUAUCGUAUCGCCAGCAAGCCUCGACUGAAGCUUACCAUUUCAACGAUUUUUGAGAUUGCUGCCUCCGCCUCCGUCUCCAUCACAGCUCUGGAGCCGGUAACGCUACUAUGCUCACGGAAUGAAUUAAGAAAUUUGAUUAGCAGGAAGGAACUCGAUUUGGUUAUCUGAAUACAGUGAAGGUUCCAUAAGCUCAAUAAGAGCGGACGGGGGUAAAUGAAACUGUAAGAUAUUUGUUAUUUUUUUACUGUUUUUGUAAAACAUUAUAGCUAUUAAUCUUUUAAAACUGCGAUUAUUAAAUUUUACACAGCAAAAGUAUGCAAAUAAUCAGGCAUAUUCUGCAUGUCACUUCCGAGCCAAUUUCAACCAAUGCCACUUUGAAUUGAAUGGGGUUGAAAUUCACUCGGAAGUGGAUUGUAGAACCUGCCAAACUGUUGAUUAAAUGCAGUUCAUACAUAAGCAUACAUGAAAUUACAGCAACUAGGCUGAAAUUUUACCUCACAUGGAUGUGCCUAUGCAAAGACUUCAAUGGCAGGCUUAUACCCACUAAGGAUCAUAGACUAGUGGUCUAAUUUAAGGAAUAAAAGUAUUGAGCACUGGGCUAAGCGAUGGGUGGAUUUGGAGACCAAGGUCGACCGCCUGAACGAUUCGAUAAUGAACUAGUGGGAAUUAGAUUCCGACAAGUAGCGCCAAAAGGAAACCAUAGUGAUAUUCAAUCUUUCAACUUCUAACUCUCAGAAAAUAGGUCAACAAAGAGUGAUUUUCUUGGCUCCAGAGGCAGCCAGACUUCACAGAACCUUAGCUAGGUUAACAGUCAAACGUCCAAUUGCGACACAACUUUCAAAUAACCAAAGUUAGGGAAAGGGCUCUAACCAUUCAAGCGAUUCACUUCCUAGUAGCCAUCGUGGAAAACAAGGAGAUUGCAAGACGCCUGUUUUUCUAGUCAAUAGGUUCAUAUGAGCAGUACAAAUCCCCAGAUGUGUACGGCAAAUGGCCAGUUAUUCUCCAGAAACGCCAUCUCAGUCUCAGUCUUCUCACCCCGUUCAUAAUCAGAUCAAUGCGGAGAAGCCUUGCAAUGACAUAUCAUCCCUCAACUAAGCAAAAAAUAAUAAAAAUAAAAAUACUGCAUUCUAACCAAAUCUGUUCGACCGAGCUGUAUAAUAGCUUUUGUCUUUAGGGAAAUGUAGAAAUUUAUAGACAACAAAACUAGAUCAACCACUCUGAUGACUGCUCGAGCACAAUAUUGUCCAGGAGAAAAAUCGUAUACGGAAAACCAACAUAUCGUCGCUACUAUGUCAAACUAUCGAAUG
Rhagoletis pomonella (apple maggot) is the source of this 1527-nucleotide long non-coding RNA. RefSeq lists it as uncharacterized. NCBI's taxonomy places the organism in Eukaryota, Metazoa, Arthropoda, Insecta, Diptera, Tephritidae. The transcript is spliced from 3 exons. The record is from RefSeq and is a predicted model, not a curated record.